This 539-nucleotide ribosomal RNA is filed under the name Clostridioides difficile. RNAcentral's name for it is "bacterial LSU rRNA". It matches the Rfam family "Bacterial large subunit ribosomal RNA", at positions 181 to 725 of the family's 2925-position model. Lineage: Bacteria; Bacillati; Bacillota; Clostridia; Peptostreptococcales; Peptostreptococcaceae. The record is from RNAcentral.
AACUCAGGGAACUGAAACAUCUAAGUACCUGAAGGAAGAGAAAGAAAUUCGAUUCCGUAAGUAGCGGCGAGCGAACGCGGAUUAGCCCAAACCAAUAAAGUUUUCUUUAUUGGGGUUGCGGACAUAUCAUAACGAAGAGGUAUCGUAAUUGAAGAGGUUUGGAAAGACCCACCACAGAAGGUAAUAGUCCUGUAUGUUAAACGAGAAGACUUUAGAUAUGAUCCAGAGUACCACGGGACACGUGAAACCCUGUGGGAAGCAGGAGGGACCACCCUCCAAGGCUAAAUACUACCUAGUGACCGAUAGCGUAUAGUACCGUGAGGGAAAGGUGAAAAGAACCCCGGGAGGGGAGUGAAAUAGAACCUGAAACCCUGCACUUACAAGCUGUGGAAGCACAUUUCUUGUGUGACCGCGUACUUUUUGUAGAACGGGCCAACGAGUUACGUUAAGUAGCAAGGUUAAGCACUUAAGGUGCGGAGCCGUAGCGAAAGCGAGUUUUAACUGAGCGUUCAGUUACUUGACGUAGACCCGAAACCGGG